RNAcentral lists this transfer RNA (84 nucleotides) under Rikenellaceae bacterium. RNAcentral describes it as "tRNA-Leu". It matches the Rfam family "tRNA". From Rfam's summary of the family: Transfer RNA (tRNA) molecules are approximately 80 nucleotides in length. Their secondary structure includes four short double-helical elements and three loops (D, anti-codon, and T loops). Further hydrogen bonds mediate the characteristic L-shaped molecular structure. tRNAs have two regions of fundamental functional importance: the anti-codon, which is responsible for specific mRNA codon recognition, and the 3' end, to which the tRNAs corresponding amino acid is attached (by aminoacyl-tRNA synthetases). tRNAs cope with the degeneracy of the genetic code in two manners: having more than one tRNA (with a specific anti-codon) for a particular amino acid; and 'wobble' base-pairing, i.e. permitting non-standard base-pairing at the 3rd anti-codon position. Lineage: Bacteria; Pseudomonadati; Bacteroidota; Bacteroidia; Bacteroidales; Rikenellaceae. The record is from RNAcentral.
GCCCGGAUGGUGGAAUGGUAGACACGCCGGACUUAAAAUCCUGUGACCAUUGUGGUCGUGCGGGUUCAAGUCCCGCUCCGGGUA